Canis lupus familiaris (dog) is the source of this 1681-nucleotide long non-coding RNA. RefSeq lists it as uncharacterized. The record is from RefSeq and is a predicted model, not a curated record. Lineage: Eukaryota; Metazoa; Chordata; Mammalia; Carnivora; Canidae. The transcript is spliced from 5 exons.
ACCUUUAAAAAGUACAUUCCCAGCCCUCAGCAAGUGGAAAGAGGGGCCUUGAGGCGAGGCGGCUCCCCCAGCGCUAGCUGGGCCCCCCACCCCCACGGCGCCCGGGUCCCAGGUUCGGGGUGGGCGCAAAGGGCGCACAGGCUGGCAAUUUCGCCCGAAUCAGAUAACCUGUUUCCUGGGUCCCCCCCUCCCCCGUUAAAAAAUAGACCAGUGAGGGAUCCUUUAUGAUUCCUCCACCCGCCAGAUCCCACCAGGAGGCAGCGAGGCCCCCUCCCCCCUCCCCGGGUCCUCGGGCCCCUCCGCCCGCAGACUCCUUUGCUCCCCAGCUGGGUGGCGCCACCCCGCAGCCCCAGCCCGACGUGAGCAAAAGCGCCUUCACCUGGGCCAGAAGUUUCUAAGACUUCAUUACCUGGAGAGAGAGAGGGAGUGACAGGGAAGAGGACGAGCAGGGGAAGAGCAGGGGAGAAGCCGACUCCCCCGCGGCUGAGCCGGAGCCUCGGCGCUGGACCUCAGGCCCCCCAGACGGUGACCCGGGGCGAAGGCGCUGGACCUCAGGCCCCCCCAGACGGUGACCCGGGGUGAAGGCGCUGGACCUCAGGCCCCCCAGACGGUGACCCGGGGCGAAGGCGCUGGACCUCAGGCCCCCCAGACGGUGACCCGGGGCGAUGGCGCUGGACCUCAGGCCCCACAGACGGUGACGGGGCGGGUGGGCGAAGGCCCUGGACCUCAGGCCCCCCAGACGGUGACCCGGGGUGAUGGCGCUGGACCUCAGGCCCCCCAGACGGUGACCCGGGGCGAUGGCGCUGGACCUCAGGCCCCACAGACGGUGACGGGGCGGGUGGGCGAAGGCCCUGGACCUCAGGCCCCCCAGACGGUGACCCGGGGUGAUGGCGCUGGACCUCAGGCGCCCCAGACGGUGACCCGGGGGGAAGGCGCUGGACCUCAGGCCCCCCAGACGGUGACCCGGGGGAAGGAGCUGGAGCUCAGGUCCCCCAGAUGGUGACCGAGGCGAAGGCAGAGGCUGAACCCACCGCGCCACCCAGGCCCCUGGGCUAGCCCUAAUCGAAGGAAUUGGAAUUGACUGAAGUUACAGGACUGAAAUAAUAUCAUCCUGGGUUUAAUAGGUGGAUACAAACAACGCUUUUUCAAUUCUCCGUGGAAAGAUCAAGUAAACAUUACUUCCUGGGUGGCAGCUGCCCACGAGCAGGAAGACAAGGAGGAGUCAACCCACUCCAAGCAGAUGGAGGAAUCUUGGCAGUGUCUUCUUCUAGCUGGCCCCAGAGGAAGGAAGUGCUCACAAGGUCCUGGUUCUGAGGACUCUCUCAAGCUGUCUGUGGACCAGCUGGAGCAGGUUGGCCAGGAAAGUAUACCUGGAAGGGAGUCUGUCGGCUUCCUGUGCUUUGCCAACUCUCCAGAACAUUCAAGGAACGCUGACAUCUGCUGUCCGCACUCAGCUGGAGGGUCACACUCAGCUUCAAGGGAGACAGACCCCUGACCAGGUGUCCUCUGCUGUUCCCUCCCUCGCCAAGAAUACCUCUGACUUCGGGCAAAGUGUUCUAGUUCACCUCCAGCUCUUCCUGCCCCAAGGCCACCUAUAUUCCUAUUGAGCCUGAUGCCACCCUCUGAGAGGAUAUUUUAAUAAUCUUUGUUUUAAACUAAAAGACAACCUAUAGAAUGGGAG